This 372-nucleotide ribosomal RNA is filed under the name uncultured bacterium. Its description in RNAcentral is "bacterial SSU rRNA". It matches the Rfam family "Bacterial small subunit ribosomal RNA", at positions 28 to 392 of the family's 1533-position model. The record is from RNAcentral.
GACGAACGCUGGCGGCGUGCUUAACACAUGCAAGUCGAGCGAGAAACCCUCUUCGGAGGGGAGUACAGCGGCGAACGGGUGAGUAACACGUGGGCAACCUGCCCCAAGGAGCGGGACGAACCCGGGGAAACCCGGGCUAAUACCGCAUGAUUCGUGGUGCCUCAAGGCACCUCGGUAAAUGGUAGCUUCGGCCUCCGCCUUGGGAUGGGCCCGCGGCGCAUUAGCUUGUUGGUGAGGUAAGGGCUCACCAAGGCGACGAUGCGUAGCUGGUCUGAGAGGACGAUCAGCCACACUGGGACUGAGACACGGCCCAGACUCCUACGGGAGGCAGCAGUGGGGAAUCUUGCGCAAUGGGCGGAAGCCUGACGCAGC